CAUGCAUCAGUUAUAUCAGUCAACACAGUUUUAUUCUAAGUCUAAUACUUGCAAGGUACUAUGAAGUAUGCACAAUGCCUACCUCAAAGAUGUUAUAUUAAAAAUGAGAGGAGCCAACUAAGGAUUCUAGGGACUAAAUGGUGCUUUGAAAGAUGGGUAGAGUUUGGAUUGGUGGUGGGAGAGAGAGAACACCCAGCAAGAGGAAUGGCGGAGGUGGAGACGCAGAGCUAUAUUUGGUAGACUGUGAACAGACUCACCUGCCUAGAGCAGUGUAUUCACAUUGGGAUUAUUAGAGUAAAGUGUGGACAAGAGGUAUAAUGCAGAGGUCUUAAUGUGUCAGGCUGGGGAAUGUACUUAGUAUUCUGUCUCUCAUGUGUCUCAAACCAGGGUCCUCAUUCACCUGUUGGUACUUGGUGACAAGGAUAAAAAGCUUUUCCCUACUCUGCUAGUUUUACUUCAAAUAAUGAAGGG
This 471-nucleotide long non-coding RNA is filed under the name Homo sapiens (human). RNAcentral describes it as "HSALNT0080321". The record is from RNAcentral. Lineage: Eukaryota; Metazoa; Chordata; Mammalia; Primates; Hominidae.